GAUGAACGCUGGCGGCGUGCUUAACACAUGCCAGUCGAACGAUGAAGCCCAGCUUGCUGGGUGGAUUAGUGGCGAACGGGUGAGUAACACGUGAGUAACCUGCCCUUAACUCUGGGAUAAGCCUGGGAAACUGGGUCUAAUACCGGAUAGAAGCGCCUACCGCAUGGUGGGUGUUGGAAAGAUUUAUCGGUUUUGGGUGGACUCGCGGCCUAUCAGCUUGUUGGUGAGGUAAUGGCUCACCAAGGCGACGACGGGUAGCCGGCCUGAGAGGGUGACCGGCCACACUGGGACUGAGACACGGCCCAGACUCCUACGGGAGGCAGCAGUGGGGAAUAUUGCACAAUGGGCGAAAGCCUGAUGCAGCGACGCCGCGUGAGGGAUGACGGCCUUCGGGUUGUAAACCUCUUUCAGUAGGGAAGAAGCGAAAGUGACGGUACCUGCAGAAGAAGCACCGGCUAACUACGUG
Molecule: ribosomal RNA, 466 nt
Filed under: uncultured bacterium
Lineage: Bacteria
Description: partial 16S ribosomal RNA
Rfam family: Bacterial small subunit ribosomal RNA
Source: RNAcentral